Molecule: long non-coding RNA, 386 nt
Filed under: Marmota monax (woodchuck)
Lineage: Eukaryota; Metazoa; Chordata; Mammalia; Rodentia; Sciuridae
Source: RNAcentral
UUGUAUUGUUAAAUUGAAUUUUCACUUUCUCAAUUAUUAUUUUUGUAACUAGAGAAUAAGUGAGGGGAUUCACAAUAUAAUUUGUCUUUUACUAAUAGUUUUUGGCUGGGCAUGGUCAUACAUGCCUGAAAUACCAAUGACUCUGGAGGCAGCAGGAUGACAAGUUGGAGGCCAGCCUCCACAAUUUAGUGAGACCUGUCUCAAAGUAAAAAAAUAAAAAGGGCUGGGGAUGUAAUUCCAUGGUAGAGCUUCCCUGGAUAAUCCCCAGUGAGAGAAAAAAUAAAGACAAAUUUUCAUUUUGAAGAAUAAAUUAAAAGUCACCUGAAAAGCCCGUCUGGUAUUUUCCUUUGUUGCCUGAUAUGUCAAUUUUUUAUCAUGACUCUCUU